This 208-nucleotide non-coding RNA is filed under the name Peptostreptococcus stomatis. RNAcentral describes it as "T-box sequence". It matches the Rfam family "T-box leader". Rfam says of the family: Uncharged tRNA acts as the effector for transcription antitermination of genes in the T-box leader family. T-boxes are found upstream of many aminoacyl-tRNA synthetase genes and some amino acid biosynthetic genes usually in Gram-positive bacteria. The record is from RNAcentral. Lineage: Bacteria; Bacillati; Bacillota; Clostridia; Peptostreptococcales; Peptostreptococcaceae.
AUAGAGCCGAUGAUAAAGAGAGUAACUCAGAUGAAUUUUCAGCGAGUCGGAGUAUGGUGUGAGUCCGAUAUUGAAGUUUGAAGUGAAGAGAGCUUUUGAGGUUGUUACAGGAAAUAAUAGUAUUGUAGCAGGUUUCCCGCCUUAAGGGUUUGAGAGGAUAGUAUAUCUAUCAAUAGGAGUGGUAACGCGGAAGUUUUUCGUCUCUUGG